Molecule: ribosomal RNA, 392 nt
Filed under: uncultured bacterium
Lineage: Bacteria
Description: bacterial SSU rRNA
Rfam family: Bacterial small subunit ribosomal RNA
Source: RNAcentral
GACGAACGCUGGCGGCGUGCCUAACACAUGCAAGUCGAACGAGAUCCAUGGGAGCUUGCUCCCGGAAGAUCUAGUGGCGAAACGGGUGAGUAACACGUGAGAAAACCUGCCCUGGAGUGGGGAAUAACUCGGGGAAACUCGAGCUAAUACCGCAUACCCUCGGAUGGUCGCAUGGCCGACCGAGGAAAAGAUUUAUCGCUCUAGGAGGGUCUCGCGGCCUAUCAGCUAGUUGGUGGGGUAACGGCCUACCAAGGCAACGACGGGUAGCUGGUUUGAGAGAACGAUCAGCCACACUGGGACUGAGACACGGCCCAGACUCCUACGGGAGGCAGCAGUGGGGAAUCUUGCGCAAUGGGCGAAAGCCUGACGCAGCAAACGCCGCGUGCGGGAUG